RNAcentral lists this ribosomal RNA (447 nucleotides) under uncultured bacterium. RNAcentral describes it as "partial 16S ribosomal RNA". It matches the Rfam family "Bacterial small subunit ribosomal RNA", at positions 29 to 523 of the family's 1533-position model. The record is from RNAcentral.
AACGAACGCUGGCGGCAGGCCUAACACAUGCAAGUCGAACGCCCCGCAAGGGGAGUGGCAGACGGGUGAGUAACGCGUGGGAAUCUACCCAGUGGUACGGAACAACCAAGGGAAACUUUGGCUAAUACCGUAUACGUCAUUCGGGAGAAAGAUUUAUCGCCAUUGGAUGAGCCCGCGUCGGAUUAGGUAGUUGGUGAGGUAACGGCUCACCAAGCCUACGAUCCGUAGCUGGUCUGAGAGGAUGAUCAGCCACAUUGGGACUGAGACACGGCCCAAACUCCUACGGGAGGCAGCAGUGGGGAAUAUUGGACAAUGGGCGCAAGCCUGAUCCAGCCAUGCCGCGUGAGUGAUGACGGCCCUAGGGUUGUAAAGCUCUUUCGGCGGGGAAGAUAAUGACUGUACCCGCAGAAGAAGCCCCGGCUAACUUCGUGCCAGCCGCCGCAGUAA